Chelonia mydas (Green sea turtle) is the source of this 967-nucleotide long non-coding RNA. RefSeq lists it as uncharacterized. NCBI's taxonomy places the organism in Eukaryota, Metazoa, Chordata, Testudines, Cheloniidae. The record is from RefSeq and is a predicted model, not a curated record. The transcript is spliced from 3 exons.
UACUCUUUCCCUUUCUCAACACCUUGUUUGCUUAUUGUCGACAGUUGGGCAGUGUACUGAAACAGACUGGGAGAAUCAUAUAAAGUGAGGUGAUAUUGAUGACCAGUUUGACACCAGCUGUCAUUUGAGACCUCAGAAGACACUCUUUGGUGAAUUAGAAUGUAUACACGAGACCCACAACAUCUCUGUAACCCUGUUGCACUCCCUUGCCAGUUGACAGUAAGAGUUUCUUGUGGCACAGUGGAGCCAGGCACAGCUAAAAAGAGAACACAAUCGUAUGCAUGGAGUGGAGGGUGGGGAAGAUUCUUGUCACCAAAUAACUCAACCACCCUUCUUGUUACCCAAAGAUAAAACAAUAAAUAACUAGAGAGAUCAAUCCAAAGGUGAUCAAAAUAUACCUCGAGCCCUCUUGCUAUCCUUCUGCUAACACAUUAUCGUGUUUUAUAUUAGCACUCUGUGCCAUUGUAAGGAGGUGUAAUGCAAAAUGCAGAUGUAACAGAGCAUGAUAUGCACUGUACAGUAAUUAAGAUGACAUACUAAGCCAAGCAAGUUUUAAAAGGUACUGUUUAAUUACACUUGAACUGACAAUGUCCUUUUAUUUGAAAGAGAGAGAGAGAGUAAAAUAAGCUUUUUGCUUAUUGCUGGCUCUAAUCAAACCUUUGGUGCUAGAGAGCUUAGACCUUCUGUUAAUAGUCACAAGUGAAUUCGUCAUUAGCAUUUCAAGUUAGGAGGAAAUCCCAACUCUCGGCACAAUGCAGCCUAUCAAAUACUGUAUAUUCAAAUAUUAUUAGAGAGAACCAGAAAAUACAGGCCAGCCAUAUGCUGAUCUAUAAAGGUUAAAGAAAUGGGUUUGCAGGGAAAUAGAAAAAAAUCAAUGUUUCAUAUAAUAAGCAGCCACCAUACUAUCAAAAAUUAUAAGCAAACCACAAAAAUCUUGUGGAUAAACACACCUUAGUGUCUUAUUAUU